AACGUAGGACACAAGCGUUAUCCGGAGUUACUGGGCGUAAAGGGCGUGUAGGCGGAUCGGUAAGUCUACUCUGAAAGCUCCUGGCUAAACUGGGAGGGGCGAGUGGAGACUGUCGGUCUAGAGUGAGGAAGAGGAAAGUGGAAUUCCGCGUGUAGUGGUGAAAUGCGUAGAGAUGCGGAGGAACACCAGUGGCGAAAGCGGCUUUCUGGUCCUUAACUGACGCUGAGGCGCGAAAGCAUGGGGAGCGAACGGG
Molecule: ribosomal RNA, 253 nt
Filed under: uncultured bacterium
Lineage: Bacteria
Description: partial 16S ribosomal RNA
Rfam family: Bacterial small subunit ribosomal RNA
Source: RNAcentral